GCUGAAAGCAUCUAAGCACGAAACUUGCCCCGAGAUGAGUUCUCCCUGAGACUUUAAGUCUCCUGAAGGAACGUUGAAGACGACGACGUUGAUAGGCCGGGUGUGUAAGCGCAGCGAUGCGUUGAGCUAACCGGUACUAAUGAACCGUGAGGCUUAACCUUACAACGCCGAAG
This 173-nucleotide ribosomal RNA is filed under the name Klebsiella pneumoniae. RNAcentral's name for it is "partial 23S ribosomal RNA". It matches the Rfam family "Bacterial large subunit ribosomal RNA", at positions 2770 to 2925 of the family's 2925-position model. RNAcentral also lists the same sequence under 2 other names. The record is from RNAcentral. Lineage: Bacteria; Pseudomonadati; Pseudomonadota; Gammaproteobacteria; Enterobacterales; Enterobacteriaceae.